This 733-nucleotide ribosomal RNA is filed under the name uncultured bacterium. RNAcentral's name for it is "bacterial SSU rRNA". It matches the Rfam family "Bacterial small subunit ribosomal RNA", at positions 81 to 795 of the family's 1533-position model. The record is from RNAcentral.
GGGGGAAAAGUAGAGUGGCGCACGGGUGAGUAACACGUAGGUAAUCUACCUUCGGGUGGGGAAUAACCCAGGGAAACUUGGGCUAACACCGCAUAAUGCAGCGGCACCACAUGGUGACAGUUGUUAAAGCGGGGGAUUUUCGGACCUCGCGCCUGAAGAGGAGCCUGCGGCAGAUUAGCUAGUUGGUAAGGUAACGGCUUACCAAGGCGACGAUCUGUAGCCGGCCUGAGAGGGCGGUCGGCCACACUGACACUGACAUACGGGUCAGACUCCUACGGGAGGCAGCAGUCGGGAAUUUUGGGCAAUGGGCGAAAGCCUGACCCAGCAACGCCGCGUGAAGGAUGAAAUCCCUCGGGAUGUAAACUUCGCAAGAAUGGGAAGAAUUAGUAGGGGUUAAUACCCCCUAUGAUGACGGUACCAUUUGUAAGCUCCGGCUAACUCCGUGCCAGCAGCCGCGGUAAUACGGGGGGAGCAAGCGUUGUUCGGAUUUACUGGGCGUAAAGGGCGCGUAGGCGGCCAGCACAAGUCGGUUGUGAAAUCUCCGGGCUUAACUCGGAAAGGUCAACCGAUACUGUGCGGUUAGAGUGCGGAAGGGGCAACUGGAAUUCUCGGUGUAGCGGUGAAAUGCGUAGAUAUCGAGAGGAACACUGCGGCGAAAGCGGGUUGCUGGGCCGACACUGACGCUGAUGCGCGAAAGCCAGGGGAGCGAACGGGAUUAGAUACCCCGGUAGUC